CCUGAAUUCACUGUCUACUCCUGUGACCAAAAAAAAGAACAUAAAAAAAUUUACUUUGUUUUACCAUGUACUUUCCAGCCACUAAUUGAGAUGUAGUUAUGAAAGAUUAGAAUUGCCUUAAAAAGGGGUCAUGAUAGCAGCUAUCAAAGCAAUAUUCAAGCAUGAUUUCAAGGAUGCCUUCAGGUUUAGAAUUAGCCUUCCUUGUCAAAAAUCUGCACAACUUCAUCAAAAACUUCAUCAACAGAUUUAGAAGCAUCUAUUUUCUUGACUUUCCCCAUUUCUUCAUAUAAGUCAAUAAUUGGCUUUGUUGACUGAAGGUAGGUCUGAAUUCUCUUUUCCAAGCUCUCUCUGUUGUCAUCACUCCUACCACUACUCUUUCCCCUCUCAAGACAUCGUUCAAUACAAAUCUCAUUAUUACAGUCAAAAAAGAGAACGAAAGAUACAUCUGCCUUCCCAUCCAUGGUCUUGUUCCAUCCUUGAAGGUUGUCUUGAUUUCUUGGAAACCCAUCAAUCAAGAAU
This 519-nucleotide long non-coding RNA is filed under the name Homo sapiens (human). RNAcentral describes it as "LNC_000305". The record is from RNAcentral. Lineage: Eukaryota; Metazoa; Chordata; Mammalia; Primates; Hominidae.